Molecule: long non-coding RNA, 1374 nt
Organism: Pomacea canaliculata
Lineage: Eukaryota; Metazoa; Mollusca; Gastropoda; Architaenioglossa; Ampullariidae
Exons: 3
Source: RefSeq, a predicted model, not a curated record
UCUAAAUUGAACGUAGUUACAUUAAAAUGCAACCGUAGUUUGUUAGGUAACCAGCUGUUAUCUUUGUAUUAAUAUCACGUUUUAUCUUUUAUUUCAUGCCGGAGGUAAGGAAAUAAGUACAGAGCCAAAAUGAAGUGUGUCAAUAGGAUGUUUUGCACAAUAUUUAGUCGUUGUCCAGAAAUUGGUCAUAAGCCACCGCCAUGGCACAGACAGCAUACAUCACAUUGCCAACGCCAUCUUGCCGUCACAGUCUUGCCAUCAGCAUCACCAUGGUCCAACGGAUCUGUCCAUCAUAAGCAAUGAUUCUAUCAUUGCCCAUCAAUUUAUUUUACUUGUCAAGACCGUCUGAUGACAAGGGACACCAUUCUUGUAGAGAGCUUUGCUGUUGUCCAGAUUUCCAGAAUGUACUGAACUGUUGCAACCUUCAUUCCAUCAAAAGUCUCCUGACAUGUCUCCGUCUCUUGAAACAGCAGGAGGCUUUUUCUUUUUUGAAGCAAUCAAAAGUGGCGGCGAAAUCUGUGUGCAGGUGGUGGUCAAACAUGCAACUACGAGUGGACAUCCUUCGCUGGCUCCUUUGAUUUGUUGGCAGUUGACAGAGUUUAAUGGAUUGACGCAGAGUCUUCUCUGUCAACCUGAAGAAGUCGGCACGUCCAGCAGCUUCAUCAGUUCAUCUAACAGUUGUAGGUGGCAGGUUCCACCACUGUACAGGAUCACAAAGCAGUAAACAUCGCCGCAGUGUCCAUCUGUUUUGUUUGGAAAAUGUCGAGUCUGGGAGGACUUACUGCUACUCCAGAACCUGCGAUAAGACUUCGUUGACUGGCCGUCCUGAAUUUUUAAAAAAUUACUUGUUAUCUCUUGUUAUUUGAUUUGAAAUUAUCCCGCAAAAUGGCAAUGUUGUCAACAAAACAAGAUAAGACGUAGAAUGACAUUUUAUCAGACUGUUUUUGUUUGUCAUUCAAAUAAAAUGAGAAAAAUACAGCUGGACGCUUGUUGACCAGUAGAGAUGUGAAGUCAAUAGCAGUGACCCGAGGGGUAGUUGCGCAGUGGCAAUGGAAGCUCGGGGGGUGAGUUCCAGCGUCUGCUUCACCGACAAAGGCCCCAGUACAUAAACACGUGCUCCUUAAAAACAACUGUAUCAAAAAUGUAUUUUAAGCUUAUUUCACAAUUAAAAUCAUAUUCAGUUAUUAAUCUGUUUUCAUACAUUUUAACUAAUCUAAUAAAACGUUUUCAAUGUAAUUGAAGUUGUAAACAUUUUUUAGGUCACAAUGUUUUUAAAACAAAGUGACAACAUGAGCCAAGAUACAAAUAAAAGUUCAGAUUAAUUGACUCAUUAACCUCUAUUGUAUCUUGAUGAAACACACUGAAGGUUUGAGU